UACGGAGGGGGCUAGCGUUGUUCGGAAUUACUGGGCGUAAAGCGCACGUAAGCGGCUUUGUAAGUUAGAGGUGAAAGCCCGGGGCUCAACUCCGGAAUUGCCUUUAAGACUGCAUCGCUAGAAUUGUGGAGAGGUAAGUGGAAUUCCGAGUGUAGAGGUGAAAUUCGUAGAUAUUCGGAAGAACACCAGUGGCGAAGGCGACUUACUGGACACAUAUUGACGCUGAGGUGCGAAAGCGUGGAGGACAAGCAA
RNAcentral lists this ribosomal RNA (252 nucleotides) under uncultured bacterium. RNAcentral's name for it is "partial 16S ribosomal RNA". It matches the Rfam family "Bacterial small subunit ribosomal RNA", at positions 524 to 775 of the family's 1533-position model. The record is from RNAcentral.